Molecule: ribosomal RNA, 744 nt
Filed under: Triticum aestivum (bread wheat)
Lineage: Eukaryota; Viridiplantae; Streptophyta; Magnoliopsida; Poales; Poaceae
Description: partial small subunit ribosomal RNA
Source: RNAcentral
GGGUUGAGGAGGGGAGACAGAAGAAACCUCCUAUUCUGGCAUGGAUUACGGCGACAGCUUGGGAUAGGAUAGGUGAAGAAGGGGAAGUGAGAGGAGGGGCUAGACCUCUCCGUGGGCAUGCGUCGGCAGUUGCGGCGGAGCAGCACUGUGCGAGGCCGUGGUGGGGCAGAGCGGGCUUCCGUGGGUCCUCGACGCGGAACUGCAGGAGAUGGAGGUGCCGUUGGCCGAGCUCGACCUCGCGGGGCCUCGGCGGCGGUACCUGGGGAGGAGAAGCUGGUCCCUGCAGACGAGGCGGAGCAGCUAGACGAUGGAGGCCAGGAGGGGCUUGGUGGGGCUCGAGCGGUGGCGGAAUGGGAGCUGAUGCUCUGGCUGCGGCGACGACCACGGGGCUGGCUGAUGCAACAACUACUGGGGAUGAACGGUCUCGUUGGUCUACGGCCUCGGGUCCUCGGUCUGCGGUGAUGGCGGCUGCUGAGGAUGAUGUGACCUCCACGGAUGAUGAUACACAUCCGGCGACUACUGCUGGUCCUCAUCAAAUCCUCCUAGGGUCCGUCCUCCGGACGCGGAGAAAGCUAGACAUAGAGUCAAACACGAUCGGUAGAAUACCGUUGAACAACUUGAAUACAGACAUCAGUCUAUAACAACGAAGGCGACUGAGCAGAUACUAGCUCGUGAACAUAAACUCGGGAGCUCUGGGACCGAACACAAUACUACGAACAUACUGAAUAAAUACAAAAUUUCAAC